ACCAGUGGCGAAGGCGCUCUACUGGGCCAUAACUGACACUGAUGGACGAAAGCUAGGGGAGCGAAAGGGAUUAGAUACCCCUGUAGUCCUAGCUGUAAACGAUGAACACUAGGUGUUGCGCGUAUCGACCCGUGCAGUAUCGAAGCAAACGCGUUAAGUGUUCCGCCUGGGGAGUACGCACGCAAGUGUGAAACUCAAAGGAAUUGACGGGGGCCCGCACAAGCGGUGGAGUAUGUGGUUUAAUUCGAUGCAACGCGAAGAACCUUACCAGGGAUUGACAUCCUACGAACCUUCCUGAAAGGGAAGGGUGCCUUCGGGAACGUAGAGACAGGUGGUGCAUGGCUGUCGUCAGCUCGUG
Molecule: ribosomal RNA, 358 nt
Filed under: Oscillatoriales cyanobacterium RCC1772
Lineage: Bacteria; Bacillati; Cyanobacteriota; Cyanophyceae; Oscillatoriales
Description: bacterial SSU rRNA
Rfam family: Bacterial small subunit ribosomal RNA
Source: RNAcentral